CUCGGCGCGCCGGGGAGGGUUGCGCACUGAGCUCUGGGCCGCCGCGCCGCGGUGCUUCCUGGUAUUCGUAGUUUUUGAGCACCACCGGGCUUGGCUCGGAGGUGGAACUCCGGGUUCUCUGAUGUCAUCGCCUAGAGCUGCGAGGAACAGGGAUCUUUAAAAAUAGGCUUCGUUAGUUUGCAGAUAAUUUGUUUGCAAGCUGUCCCAUAAUCGGUCCAAGUGGCACAAAUGUACAGGCUGCGGUACGACCUGGAGAAAAACGCUUUACACUUCUGCGCGCCAAUUUUUCGCUCUUCUCUCUCCCUGCAAAUGUAGCUCCACCGCCUACUUACAAUGGUGUUAAUAGUACAAGAGGAUGGGAGAGACUUAAAGAAGAAUUAGUCGAAAUUCUUUCAGCAAGGGUGGAGCAUGAAUAUGUAUUCUGUGCCUAGAACAGAAGUAUGUGUUGAAUGAUGAAUGCCACAGCCCCCUUUAUGGACAGAGCCAGCAUCAGAAGCCAAGCAAAAGGAGUACCUCCAGAAGCAAACCUCUGUUCUAACCAGAAAUCAGAACCAAGAUAGAACAAGAAUUAAACAUGAACUGAACACUCUCUGAA
Non-coding RNA from Macaca mulatta (Rhesus monkey), 595 nucleotides. NCBI's taxonomy places the organism in Eukaryota, Metazoa, Chordata, Mammalia, Primates, Cercopithecidae. The record is from RefSeq and is a predicted model, not a curated record.